UCUCAUUUCUAGUCUGCACAGGCCUCACACG
This 31-nucleotide non-coding RNA is filed under the name Rattus norvegicus (Norway rat). Lineage: Eukaryota; Metazoa; Chordata; Mammalia; Rodentia; Muridae. The record is from RNAcentral.